RNAcentral lists this ribosomal RNA (859 nucleotides) under uncultured crenarchaeote. RNAcentral's name for it is "bacterial SSU rRNA". It matches the Rfam family "Archaeal small subunit ribosomal RNA", at positions 1 to 869 of the family's 1478-position model. Lineage: Archaea; Thermoproteati; Thermoproteota. RNAcentral also lists the same sequence under 1 other name. The record is from RNAcentral.
UGCGCUGAUCCUGCCGGACCUGACUGCUAUCGGAUUGAUACUAAGCCAUGCGAGUCAUUGUAGCAAGGCAAGGCAGACGGCUCAGUAACGCGUAGUCAACCUACCCUAUGGACGGGGAUAACCUCGGGACCCUGAGAAUAAUACCAGAUAGAACAUUAUGCCUGGAAUGGUUUAUGUUUAAAAUAAUUUAUUGCCGUAGGAUGGGACUGCGGCCUAUCAGUUUGUUGGUGAGGUAAUGGCCCGCCAAGACUAUUACAGGUACGGGCUCUGAGAGGAGUAGCCCGGAGAUGGGUACUGAGACACGGACCCAGGCCCUAUGGGGCGCAGCAGGCGAGAAAACUUUGCAAUGUGCGAUUGCACGACAAGGUUAAUCCGAGUGAUUUCUGCUAAAGGAAUCUUUUGUCAGUCCUAGAGGCACUGUUGAAUAAGGGGUGGGCAAGUUCUGGUGUCAGCCGCCGCGGUAAAACCAGCACGUCAAGUGGUCAGGAUGAUUAUUGGGCCUAAAGCAUCCGUCGCCUGCUUUGUCAGUUUUCGGUUAAAUCCAUACGCUCAACGUAUGGGCUGCCGGAAAUACUGCAAAGCUAGGGAGUGGGAGAGGUAGACGGUACUCGGGAGGAAGGGGUAAAAUCCUUUGAUCUCUCGAUGACCACCUGUGGCGAAGGCGGUCUACCAGAACACGUCCGACGGUGAGGGAUGAAAGCUGGGGGAGCAAACCGGAUUAGAUAUUCGGGUAGUCCCAGCUGUAAACUAUGCAAACUCAGUGAUGCAUUGGCUUGAUGCCAAUGCAGUGUUGCAGGGAAGCCGUUAAGUUUGCCGCCUGGGAAGUACGUACGCAAGUAUGAAACUUAAAGGAAACUUG